AUUGAACGCUGGCGGCAUGCUUUACACAUGCAAGUCGAACGGCAGCGCGGGCUUCGGCCUGGCGGCGAGUGGCGAACGGGUGAGUAAUACAUCGGAACGUGCCCAGUAGUGGGGGAUAGCUCGGCGAAAGCCGGAUUAAUACCGCAUACGACCUGAGGGUGAAAGCGGGGGAUCUUCGGACCUCGCGCUAUUGGAGCGGCCGAUGGCAGAUUAGCUAGUUGGUGGGGUAAAGGCCUACCAAGGCGACGAUCUGUAGCUGGUCUGAGAGGACGACCAGCCACACUGGGACUGAGACACGGCCCAGACUCCUACGCGAGGCAGCAGUGGGGAAUUUUGGACAAUGGGCGAAAGCCUGAUCCAGCAAUGCCGCGUGUGUGAUGAAGGCCUUCGGGUUGUAAAGCACUUUUGGCGGGAACGAAAAGGACUGUGCCAAUACCACGGUUCGAUGACGGUACCCGCAGAAUAAGCACCGGCUAACUACGUG
This 484-nucleotide ribosomal RNA is filed under the name uncultured bacterium. RNAcentral's name for it is "partial 16S ribosomal RNA". It matches the Rfam family "Bacterial small subunit ribosomal RNA", at positions 29 to 507 of the family's 1533-position model. The record is from RNAcentral.